RNAcentral lists this ribosomal RNA (1532 nucleotides) under Salmonella enterica subsp. enterica serovar Typhimurium. RNAcentral describes it as "partial 23S ribosomal RNA". It matches the Rfam family "Bacterial large subunit ribosomal RNA", at positions 1292 to 2807 of the family's 2925-position model. Lineage: Bacteria; Pseudomonadati; Pseudomonadota; Gammaproteobacteria; Enterobacterales; Enterobacteriaceae. The record is from RNAcentral.
GAAUGCUGACAUAAGUAACGAUAAAGCGGGUGAAAAGCCCGCUCGCCGGAAGACCAAGGGUUCCUGUCCAACGUUAAUCGGGGCAGGGUGAGUCGACCCCUAAGGCGAGGCCGAAAGGCGUAGUCGAUGGGAAACGGGUUAAUAUUCCCGUACUUGGUGUUACUGCGAAGGGGGGACGGAGAAGGCUAUGUUGGCCGGGCGACGGUUGUCCCGGUUUAAGCGUGUAGGUGUGUGUUCCAGGUAAAUCCGGUUCACUUUAACACUGAGGCGUGACGACGAGGCACUACGGUGCUGAAGCAACAAAUGCCCUGCUUCCAGGAAAAGCCUCUAAGCAUCAGGUAACAUCAAAUCGUACCCCAAACCGACACAGGUGGUCAGGUAGAGAAUACCAAGGCGCUUGAGAGAACUCGGGUGAAGGAACUAGGCAAAAUGGUGCCGUAACUUCGGGAGAAGGCACGCUGACACGUAGGUGAAGUGAUUUACUCAUGGAGCUGAAGUCAGUCGAAGAUACCAGCUGGCUGCAACUGUUUAUUAAAAACACAGCACUGUGCAAACACGAAAGUGGACGUAUACGGUGUGACGCCUGCCCGGUGCCGGAAGGUUAAUUGAUGGGGUCAGCGCAAGCGAAGCUCCUGAUCGAAGCCCCGGUAAACGGCGGCCGUAACUAUAACGGUCCUAAGGUAGCGAAAUUCCUUGUCGGGUAAGUUCCGACCUGCACGAAUGGCGUAAUGAUGGCCAGGCUGUCUCCACCCGAGACUCAGUGAAAUUGAACUCGCUGUGAAGAUGCAGUGUACCCGCGGCAAGACGGAAAGACCCCGUGAACCUUUACUAUAGCUUGACACUGAACAUUGAGCCUUGAUGUGUAGGAUAGGUGGGAGGCUUUGAAGUGUGGACGCCAGUCUGCAUGGAGCCGACCUUGAAAUACCACCCUUUAAUGUUUGAUGUUCUAACGUGGACCCGUAAUCCGGGUUGCGGACAGUGUCUGGUGGGUAGUUUGACUGGGGCGGUCUCCUCCUAAAGAGUAACGGAGGAGCACGAAGGUUGGCUAAUCCUGGUCGGACAUCAGGAGGUUAGUGCAAUGGCAUAAGCCAGCUUGACUGCGAGCGUGACGGCGCGAGCAGGUGCGAAAGCAGGUCAUAGUGAUCCGGUGGUUCUGAAUGGAAGGGCCAUCGCUCAACGGAUAAAAGGUACUCCGGGGAUAACAGGCUGAUACCGCCCAAGAGUUCAUAUCGACGGCGGUGUUUGGCACCUCGAUGUCGGCUCAUCACAUCCUGGGGCUGAAGUAGGUCCCAAGGGUAUGGCUGUUCGCCAUUUAAAGUGGUACGCGAGCUGGGUUUAGAACGUCGUGAGACAGUUCGGUCCCUAUCUGCCGUGGGCGCUGGAGAACUGAGGGGGGCUGCUCCUAGUACGAGAGGACCGGAGUGGACGCAUCACUGGUGUUCGGGUUGUCAUGCCAAUGGCACUGCCCGGUAGCUAAAUGCGGAAGAGAUAAGUGCUGAAAGCAUCUAAGCACGAAACUUGCCCCGAGAUGA